GCCCCCUUAGCUCAGGCGGAUAGAGCGGCGGUUUCCUAAACCGUAGGUCGCGUGUUCGAAUCACGCAGGGGGUA
This 74-nucleotide transfer RNA is filed under the name bacterium. Its description in RNAcentral is "tRNA-Arg". It matches the Rfam family "tRNA". Rfam says of the family: Transfer RNA (tRNA) molecules are approximately 80 nucleotides in length. Their secondary structure includes four short double-helical elements and three loops (D, anti-codon, and T loops). The record is from RNAcentral.